GACACUGUGCCCGAGUGGUCUAAGGGGAUUGACUUGAAAACAGUCGUUAUCAAUUGGUAUUUACCGCACAGGUUCAAAUCCUGUCAGUGUCG
Molecule: transfer RNA, 92 nt
Filed under: Tilletia horrida
Lineage: Eukaryota; Fungi; Basidiomycota; Exobasidiomycetes; Tilletiales; Tilletiaceae
Description: tRNA-Ser
Rfam family: tRNA
About the family: Transfer RNA (tRNA) molecules are approximately 80 nucleotides in length. Their secondary structure includes four short double-helical elements and three loops (D, anti-codon, and T loops).
Source: RNAcentral